Molecule: ribosomal RNA, 254 nt
Filed under: uncultured bacterium
Lineage: Bacteria
Description: partial 16S ribosomal RNA
Rfam family: Bacterial small subunit ribosomal RNA
Source: RNAcentral
UACGGAGGAUCCAAGCGUUAUCCGGAAUUACUGGGCGUAAAGAGUUGCGUAGGUGGCAUGGUAAGUUGCUAGUGAAAUCCUGGGGCUCAACCCCUUACCCAUUAGCAAAACUGCCAAGCUAGAGGACGAGAGAGGUACCUGGAAUUCCUAGUGUAGGAGUGAAAUCCGUAGAUAUUAGGAGGAACACCGAUGGCGUAGGCAGGGUACUGGCUUGUUCCUGACACUAAGGCACGAAAGCGUGGGGAGCGAACGGG